GGGGUGGAUUAGUGGCGAACGGGUGAGUAACACGUGGGCAAUCUGCCCUUCACUCUGGGACAAGCCCUGGAAACGGGGUCUAAUACCGGAUAUUACUCCUGCCUGCAUGGGCGGGGGUUGAAAGCUCCGGCGGUGAAGGAUGAGCCCGCGGCCUAUCAGCUUGUUGGUGGGGUAAUGGCCCACCAAGGCGACGACGGGUAGCCGGCCUGAGAGGGCGACCGGCCACACUGGGACUGAGACACGGCCCAGACUCCUACGGGAGGCAGCAGUGGGGAAUAUUGCACAAUGGGCGAAAGCCUGAUGCAGCGACGCCGCGUGAGGGAUGACGGCCUUCGGGUUGUAAACCUCUUUCAGCAGGGAAGAAGCGAAAGUGACGGUACCUGCAGAAGAAGCGCCGGCUAACUACGUGCCAGCAGCCGCGGUAAUACGUAGGGCGCAAGCGUUGUCCGGAAUUAUUGGGCGUAAAGAGCUCGUAGGCGGCUUGUCACGUCGGAUGUGAAAGCCCGAGGCUUAACCUCGGGUCUGCAUUCGAUACGGGCUAGCUAGAGUGUGGUAGGGGAGAUCGGAAUUCCUGGUGUAGCGGUGAAAUGCGCAGAUAUCAGGAGGAACACCGGUGGCGAAGGCGGAUCUCUGGGCCAUUACUGACGCUGA
This 651-nucleotide ribosomal RNA is filed under the name Streptomyces vinaceus. RNAcentral's name for it is "bacterial SSU rRNA". It matches the Rfam family "Bacterial small subunit ribosomal RNA", at positions 84 to 749 of the family's 1533-position model. Lineage: Bacteria; Bacillati; Actinomycetota; Actinomycetes; Kitasatosporales; Streptomycetaceae. The record is from RNAcentral.